GGGCCCGCACAAGCAGUGGAGUAUGUGGUUUAAUUCGAAGCAACGCGAAGAACCUUACCAGGUCUUGACAUCUACCGAAUCCUGUAGAGAUACGGGAGUGCCCUUCGGGGAACGGUAAGACAGGUGGUGCAUGGUUGUCGUCAGCUCGUGUCGUGAGAUGUUGGGUUAAGUCCCGCAACGAGCGCAACCCUUGUGAUUAGUUGCUACGCAAGAGCACUCUAAUCAGACUGCCGUUGACAAAACGGAGGAAGGUGGGGACGACGUCAAAUCAUCAUGCCCCUUAUGACCUGGGCUACACACGUACUACAAUGGCCGUUAACAGAGGGAAGCGAAACCGCGAGGCGGAGCAAACCCCCAAAAACGGUCUCAGUUCGGAUCGCAGGCUGCAACCCGCCUGCGUGAAGCUGGAAUUGCUAGUAAUCGCGGAUCAUCAUGCCGCGGUGAAUACGUUCCCGGGCCUU
RNAcentral lists this ribosomal RNA (461 nucleotides) under uncultured bacterium. RNAcentral describes it as "bacterial SSU rRNA". It matches the Rfam family "Bacterial small subunit ribosomal RNA", at positions 917 to 1382 of the family's 1533-position model. The record is from RNAcentral.